This 359-nucleotide ribosomal RNA is filed under the name uncultured bacterium. RNAcentral describes it as "bacterial SSU rRNA". It matches the Rfam family "Bacterial small subunit ribosomal RNA", at positions 9 to 353 of the family's 1533-position model. The record is from RNAcentral.
GAGUUUUGAUCCUGGCUCAGGAUGAACGCUAGCUACAGGCUUAACACAUGCAAGUCGGAGGGGAAACGACAUCGAAAGCUUGUCUUUUGAUGGGCGUCGACCGGCGCGACGGGUGAGUAACGCGUAUCCAACCUCGCCCACCACUUGGGGAUAACCUUGCGAAGUAAGACUAAUACCCAAUGAUAUCUCUAGAAGACAUCUGAAAGAGAUUAAAGAUUUAUCGGUGAUGGAUGGGGAUGCGUCUGAUUAGCUUGUUGGCGGGGUAACGGCCCACCAAGGCAACGAUCAGUAGGGGUUCUGAGAGGAAGGUCCCCCACAUUGGAACUGAGACACGGUCCAAACUCCUACGGGAGGCAGCA